Molecule: ribosomal RNA, 447 nt
Filed under: uncultured bacterium
Lineage: Bacteria
Description: bacterial SSU rRNA
Rfam family: Bacterial small subunit ribosomal RNA
Source: RNAcentral
UGCCAGACUCCUACGGGAGGCAGCAGUGGGGGAUAUUGCACAAUGGGGGAAACCCUGAUGCAGCGACGCCGCGUGGGUGAAGAAGCGCCUCGGCGCGUAAAGCCCUGUCAGCAGGGAAGAAAAUGACGGUACCUGAAGAAGAAGCCCCGGCUAACUACGUGCCAGCAGCCGCGGUAAUACGUAGGGGGCAAGCGUUAUCCGGAUUCACUGGGUGUAAAGGGAGCGUAGACGGCGACGCAAGUCUGGAGUGAAAGCCCGGGGCCCAACCCCGGGACUGCUCUGGAAACUGCGUCGCUGGAGUACGGGAGGGGCAGGCGGAAUUCCUGGUGUAGCGGUGAAAUGCGUAGAUAUCUGGAGGAACAUCAGUGGCGAAGGCGACUAUCUGGCACAUAACUGACGCUGAGGAGCGAAAGCGUGGGUAGCAAACAGGAUUAGAUACCCGUGUAA